CUGGUGCAGCCCUGGGUCACCCGCCGCGUCCACGCCGAGACGCCCUCCAUCCUCAGGUUCCAGAGGAUGCAGCACAAGUUGCUAGACAAUUUCUUCUCUGUGCUGUCAUGCGUUGUCUCUGUCCCUUUCUACACAGGAUUCCUGCCCCUCCUCUUCUGGAGUGGAAACGGCAAGUUGGCUAGGCAGAUGACCCUCCUCAUGGCGUUCUCUGAUCAC
Molecule: long non-coding RNA, 216 nt
Organism: Lolium rigidum
Lineage: Eukaryota; Viridiplantae; Streptophyta; Magnoliopsida; Poales; Poaceae
Exons: 3
Source: RefSeq, a predicted model, not a curated record